GUGUCAGCCGCCGCGGUAAUACGUAGGUGGCAAGCGUUGUCCGGAUUUAUUGGGUUUAAAGGGUGCGUAGGCGGUCCUAUAAGUCAGUGCUGAAAUAUCCCGGCUUAACCGGGAGGGUGGCAUUGAUACUGCAGGACUUGAGUAAAGUUGAGGUUGGCGGAAUUGACGGUGUAGCGGUGAAAUGCUUAGAUAUCGUCAAGAACACCGAUAGUGAAGACAGCUAACUAAGCUUUAACUGACGCUGAGGCACGAAAGUGUGGGGAUCAAACAGGAUUAGAAACCCUGGUAGUCC
RNAcentral lists this ribosomal RNA (292 nucleotides) under uncultured bacterium. RNAcentral's name for it is "partial 16S ribosomal RNA". It matches the Rfam family "Bacterial small subunit ribosomal RNA", at positions 505 to 796 of the family's 1533-position model. The record is from RNAcentral.